GGAUGUGAGGGCGAACUGGCUGCUGCAUCUGUCACCCCAUUGAUCGCCAGGGUUGAUUCGGUUGAUCUGGUUGGCUAGGCAGGUGUCCCCUUCCUCCCUCACUUCUCAAUGUGCGUCCCUCCCAAAGCUGCAUGCUCUGUGGAAGAGGACAGCCUUCCCGGAAUAGAGACGGAUCGGUCUUCGGUCAAGGGUAUACGCGUAGCUGUGCUUCCCUGCUAGAAUCUCCAAACAAGCUCUCAAAGAAAUAAUAGAAAAAUUUCCAACUCUGGGAUGUGGUCAGGAUAUAGAUUUUCAGGAAGCAAAGAGAACUCCCAAAUUUUU
This is an unclassified non-coding RNA of Erinaceus europaeus (western European hedgehog), 321 nucleotides long. Its record names the gene 7SK. It matches the Rfam family "7SK RNA". Rfam says of the family: 7SK was discovered as an abundant small nuclear RNA in the mid-70s but a possible function has only recently been suggested. Two independent studies have found that 7SK RNA binds the CDK9/cyclin T complex (known as elongation factor P-TEFb). NCBI's taxonomy places the organism in Eukaryota, Metazoa, Chordata, Mammalia, Eulipotyphla, Erinaceidae. The record is from Ensembl.